GAUGAACGCUGGCGGCGUGCCUAAUACAUGCAAGUCGAGCGAACGGACGAGAAGCUUGCUUCUCUGAUGUUAGCGGCGGACGGGUGAGUAACACGUGGAUAACCUACCUAUAAGACUGGGAUAACUUCGGGAAACCGUAGCUAAUACCGGAUAAUAUUUUGAACCGCAUGGUUCAAAAGUGAAAGACGGUCUUGCGGUCACUUAUAGAUGGAUCCGCGCUGCAUUAGCUAGUUGGUAAGGUAACGGCUUACCAAGGCAACGAUGCAUAGCCGACCUGAGAGGGUGAUCGGCCACACUGGAACUGAGACACGGUCCAGGCUCCUACGGGAGGCAGCAGUAGGGAAUCUUCCGCAAUGGGCGAAAGCCUGACGGAGCAACGCCGCGUGAGUGAUGAAGGUCUUCGGAUCGUAAAACUCUGUUAUUAGGGAAGAACAUAUGUGUAAGUAACUGUGCACAUCUUGACGGUACCUAAUCAGAAAGCCACGGCUAACUACGUG
Molecule: ribosomal RNA, 497 nt
Filed under: uncultured bacterium
Lineage: Bacteria
Description: partial 16S ribosomal RNA
Rfam family: Bacterial small subunit ribosomal RNA
Source: RNAcentral